UUAAGACCUUAAAAUAUGCCGGAUAAUAAAAUCAACAGAUUAAAAUCCAAAGAAUAUGGCGGUGUUUUUAUAUAACCAGGGGAACCUGUUUCUUAAUUCGAUAGUCCACGAAAUUCCAACCUCUCAUAGAAUAAAUCAGCCUGUGUACUGCUGUCGCCAGUAAACCUAUAAAAGAUAGUUUACAACAAAUAAUAAUUUCAUUACACGUCAAGUCAAAGUGCAGCUUAUGGGGAGGAGACAAUGGGUUACAAUCUUAAAACUCAGAAAACGAAUAUUCACAAUAAAAAUGUGUUGAAGGUGGACUUGGAAGUAAUAUACAAAAAAAAAUAAUAUAAAUCUUUCUAAAACACGUACACAUCGCCCGUCACUCUCAUCUAAAGAAG
Molecule: ribosomal RNA, 383 nt
Filed under: Fridericia striata
Lineage: Eukaryota; Metazoa; Annelida; Clitellata; Enchytraeida; Enchytraeidae
Description: partial 12S ribosomal RNA
Source: RNAcentral